Molecule: transfer RNA, 73 nt
Filed under: Stegodyphus mimosarum
Lineage: Eukaryota; Metazoa; Arthropoda; Arachnida; Araneae; Eresidae
Rfam family: tRNA
About the family: Transfer RNA (tRNA) molecules are approximately 80 nucleotides in length.
Source: Rfam by way of RNAcentral
GCCUUCGAGGUGUAAUGGCCAGAAUACUAGGUUAGUAUUCGAGAGGUCCGUGGUUCGAGUCCCGGCGAUGGCA